Molecule: long non-coding RNA, 1127 nt
Organism: Alligator sinensis (Chinese alligator)
Lineage: Eukaryota; Metazoa; Chordata; Crocodylia; Alligatoridae
Exons: 3
Source: RefSeq, a predicted model, not a curated record
AGCAAUACCUUAGUUAUCGUGGAAACAGUGCUGCUUUAAAAUAAUGACUGUUACUGGGGGAAAAAAACUGCAUAACACUGCAAUGGCUUCACUGCAGGACACCAGGUUGUAAUCUAUGGAUUACAAAGCUUCAAGAGAUUUAAGAAAUGGAAGUGUUAAUGGCAAGUGUUAGACAGAAAAUGAUUAAAGGGGGAGAGAUGGACACCUAUGGAAACCCUGCUUGGAAAAGCAAAACCUUUACUUAAGUGACAAACAUCUGAAAGCAUUUUAACGGACAAGUGCCUUACAAAACUGCGACCACCUGUGAUACAGAUUGUUGAUUCAUUACUUCAGAGGCAUUUGUGGCUGGUAGAAGACAGAAGAGUGUUAGCAGAUCUUCCUGAUAUUCCAGUUGGUGGUAAAGACUGGGAGAUCAGAAAUUCCUCAGCUUGGUUGAAAGGAAAGGAAAUUUGAAUUUGGAGGAGAAAUUUGGGUCUGGAACCAAAGCAGCACUGGACACAGGAAGGAGCACUUGGCUAAGAUAAGGACUGAAAGCAAAGUGGCAACAGCUGUUGAGGAAAGGUGACUCAAGAAGAACAGUGAUAGACAAGGAGGCCCAGGAUCUAAUCAGAGUCAAACUAUGACUUUCAAUGCUGAAACCUCCAGCAGUCUCCACUGGACCAAAGCAAGGUUUCUGGACAGAAGUAACGUUCAUGAAGACAGUUUAAGAUGGGUGAGCACCACUUGAAGACUAUGGCCUGUGGGUAGUGAAAGCAUGGUUUGGCCAGAGCCUGUUACUUCAAUGAGAAGGUAGUAAAAGUAGAAGAGCCACUUGCUACCUGUUUCUGCUUCCCCACUCCAAACAUAUGGACAGAUGUUGGUGAGGAUACUUCAGUGCAUCUCUAGAGCCACUCUCAAGACUUCAGUGAGAUGCCCUUGAAGAGCUUCUCCAGUGGAUGGAGCGCACUCAGGAACAUCUGUGCCAGGACACUGCCACUGCAUUGUAGAUGUACACAGGGAGUCAAGACUCCUACAGCCCUGACAGCUGUGAAAGAGGGGACUGUGAAAUGCCUACUGAGUAGAGUUGGCUGAAAUUUUUUCAAAUGAAAAGGCCUUUUGCUCCUUGAAAGUCUCAAAGAAACAUCAAU